CACAUGCAAGUCGAGCGAAGGAAUACUUAGGAAGCCUUCGGGAAGAAUACGUAUUCCUGAGCGGCGGACGGGUGAGUAACGCGUGAGGAAUCUGCCUCGCACAAGGGGAUAGCCUCGGGAAACCGGGAUUAAUACCCUAUGAUACUUACACUGCGCAUGCAGAGUAAGUUAAAGAAUAUCGGUGUGAGAUGACCUCGCGUCCCAUUAGCUAGUUGGCAGGGUAAAAGCCUACCAAGGCGACGAUGGGUAGCCGGCCUGAGAGGGUGAACGGCCACAUUGGAACUGAGACACGGUCCAGACUCCUACGGGAGGCAGCAGUGGGGAAUAUUGCACAAUGGAGGGAACUCUGAUGCAGCAACGCCGCGUGAGCGAAGAAGGUUUUAGGAUCGUAAAGCUCUGUCCUAGGGGAAGAUAAUGACGGUACCCGAGGAGGAAGCCCCGGCUAACUACGUGCCAGCAGCCGCGGUAAUACGUAGGGGGCGAGCGUUGUCCGGAAUUAUUGGGCGUAAAGGGUGCGUAGGCGGCUGAACAAGUCAGAUGUGAAAGGUUAAGGCUUAACUUUAAUAAGCAUAUGAAACUGUUCAGCUUGAGUUAAGGAGAGGGGAGUGGAAUUCCUAGUGUAGCGGUGAAAUGCGUAGAUAUUAGGAGGAAUACCAGUGGCGAAGGCGACUCUCUGGACUUAAACUGACGCUGAGGCACGAAAGCGUGGGGAGCA
Molecule: ribosomal RNA, 715 nt
Filed under: uncultured Clostridium sp.
Lineage: Bacteria; Bacillati; Bacillota; Clostridia; Eubacteriales; Clostridiaceae
Description: bacterial SSU rRNA
Rfam family: Bacterial small subunit ribosomal RNA
Source: RNAcentral